CCUACGGGCGACAGCAGUGAGGAAUAUUGGUCAAUGGACGAGAGUCUGAACCAGCCAAGUAGCGUGAAGGAUGACUGCCCUAUGGGUUGUAAACUUCUUUUAUAAAGGAAUAAAACGAGGCACGUGUGCCUUUUUGCAUGUACUUUAUGAAUAAGGAUCGGCUAACUCCGUGCCAGCAGCCGCGGUAAUACGGCGGAUCCGAGCGUUAUCCGGAUUUAUUGGGUUUAAAGGGAGCGUAGAUGGGUUGUUAAGUCAGUUGUGAAAGUUUGCGGCGCAACCGUAAAAUUGCAAUUGAUACUGGCAGUCUUGAGUACAGUUGAGGUAGGCGGAAUUCGUGGUGUAGCGGUGAAAUGCUUAGAUAUCACGAAGAACCCCGAUUGCGAAGGCAGCUUACUAAACUGUGACUGACAUUGAUGCUCGAAAGUGUGGGUAGCAAACAGGAUUAGAUACCCCAGUAGUC
RNAcentral lists this ribosomal RNA (460 nucleotides) under uncultured bacterium. Its description in RNAcentral is "partial 16S ribosomal RNA". It matches the Rfam family "Bacterial small subunit ribosomal RNA", at positions 338 to 795 of the family's 1533-position model. The record is from RNAcentral.